Molecule: ribosomal RNA, 394 nt
Filed under: uncultured Mollicutes bacterium
Lineage: Bacteria; Bacillati; Mycoplasmatota; Mollicutes
Description: bacterial SSU rRNA
Rfam family: Bacterial small subunit ribosomal RNA
Source: RNAcentral
GAGUUUGAUCCUGGCUCAGGAUGAACGCUGGCUGUGUGCCUAAUACAUGCAUGUCGAACGAAGCACUUGUGCUUAGUGGCAAAUGGGUGAGUAACACGUACUUAAUCUACCUUUAAGAUUGGAAUAACAUUUGGAAACAACUGCUAAUACCAAAUAUGUAAUCAUUUCGCAUGAAUUGAUUAUAAAAGAAGCGUUUGCUUCGCUUAACGAUGAGAGUGCGUUACAUUAGAUAGUUGGUAAGGUAAUGGCUUACCAAGUCAAUGAUGUAUAGCGGGGUCGAGAGGCUGAACCGCCACACUGGGACUGAGAUACGGCCCAGACUCCUACGGGAGGCAGCAGUAGGGAAUAUUCCACAAUGAACGAAAGUUUGAUGGAGCGACACAGUGUGCAGGAU